Molecule: long non-coding RNA, 1443 nt
Organism: Toxorhynchites rutilus septentrionalis
Lineage: Eukaryota; Metazoa; Arthropoda; Insecta; Diptera; Culicidae
Exons: 3
Source: RefSeq, a predicted model, not a curated record
UCACUAGGUUCGGCAGUUUCCAUAAAGAUGAUUCUUGCUGUGUUCAUUUCAAUUUUCCAUUGAAGAAGAUGAAUUCUACCAUACUCAAUAAAGCUGCAAGAAAUUAUAUUUAAAGCUUGAAACUAGUUAAUAAUUAACUUAAUUUACAUACCAUCACCAGAAUCACAACAAAAUCAUCUUGCACAUGACAUAACAUACAAUGUCAUGGUGACGAAAAAACAAUGAAGACCCGAUUUCAUUUCCUAAUUACUAAUUCGAUCUAAGCAAGCUUUUUGUUUGUGCAAUACGUUUUCUCACUGAGGUUUAUACUUUGAAGAUUGAAGCAAGUAUAAAUCCCAUCACCAUUCAAUAUGCAGCGAGCGGCAUUCACGUCCAAGAUUCCCACCGGGUCGUUAGUCCCAAAACGCUCUUUGGCCAACCGGGAACCCGGAGUGCAUGGAGAAUCGAAUGGAAAACGCUCCGUCAUCAAGCCAAUUUUAAAGCCAAACCAGAUGCAGCAGUGGAACGAGCGAAUGAUUGAAGAUGAAACGCCUCCACCUCUGGUUCCCAGUGAAGUAAUUCUCGUUGAUGAUGACGAGGAUUUGUUCGACUGGGAGCCAUUGGAUGCAACGGAGAUGGAGAUGGCGGUGUUCCAGAGAAUGAAGUUUGAGAGAGAUCUUCGGAAGGCGCAAGCAGAGAAUAUCAAACUGCGGCAGGAAAAUCAACGACUGAAAGCAACAAAAGGGGUAAGUUUUCUCAAUCGUUGUCGUUUUGAAUCCUUACUAUUAAUGAUAGGCGAGAUAGCGGAAUCAAUUUUAUGUUAUGGUUUUUGGUUAUUGUUGUGAGUUGUUAUUGUAGUCUUUAUUUUUGUUCGUUUGUUGCAUUCAGUUUUAAUAUAUUUCUGUAUUUUGUUGUGGUUUUUUAUUCAGAUUUCUGUAUUGUGGUUUUAGAUUUUUCCUUUGUUGAUUUUGAUUGAUUAGUUGUAGUGAUGUUUUUUUUUGUAGCCUCUGCUUUUAUUAUGUUUUUUACUUAGAGUUCUACAUUGUGGUUUUAGUUGAUUUAUUUUCGUUUUUGUUUUCAUUGUAGGUUUUUUUUAUUAUUUGUUCUGUUAUCGUUUUCUGUGUAUUGUUGAACUUUACAUUAUUUAAUGUUGCGAUGUUUGAUGCCAUUUUUUAUAUAUUUCAUGGUAUAUUUACAAUAACCCGUUUGAUGAUAAUAAUUUUCUUGAAUCAUGCUUUAUACUAUAUUUGAUUGUUUUGUUUUUCUGUUGAUAACUUUAUUAAUAUAUUUUUUCUUGCGUUUUUUUGAGUAUUUGCGAGCCUCCAAGGCGAAUCUCCUGUCCAUAGUUGGACCUACUGGAUUCCCUAUAGUACUGAUGAAAUAUGUCAUGAGAUACCAAAACGAAGCAGUUACUGAAGCAGAUCAUGCAAGCGAAUCCAUGAGAGCAGAGAGCAUUUCCGGAGA